GUACGGAAGGCAGCAGUAGGGAAUAUUGCUCAAUGGGCGAAAGCCUGAAGCAGCAACGCCGCGUGUGCGAUGAAGGCCUUCGGGUCGUAAAGCACUUUUCUGAGAGAUGAGAAAGGACAGUAUCUCAGGAAUAAGUCUCGGCUAACUACGUGCCAGCAGCCGCGGUAAAACGUAGGAGGCGAGCGUUAUCCGGAUUCACUGGGCGUAAAGCGCGUGCGGGCGGUUCGGUAAGUUGGGUAUGAAAUCUCUUGGCUUAACUAGGAGAGGUUAUCCAAUACUACCGGACUUGAGAGUGGUAGAGGAAGAUGGAAUUCCCGGUGUAGUGGUGAAAUGCGUAGAUAUCGGGAGGAACACCAGUGGCGAAAGCGAUCUUCUGGACCAUUUCUGACGCUCAGACGCGAAAGCUAGGGUAGUAAACGGGAUUAGAUACCCUGGU
RNAcentral lists this ribosomal RNA (436 nucleotides) under uncultured bacterium. RNAcentral's name for it is "bacterial SSU rRNA". It matches the Rfam family "Bacterial small subunit ribosomal RNA", at positions 339 to 791 of the family's 1533-position model. The record is from RNAcentral.